Pelobates cultripes (western spadefoot toad) is the source of this 435-nucleotide non-coding RNA. The record is from the annotation of a GenBank genome assembly. NCBI's taxonomy places the organism in Eukaryota, Metazoa, Chordata, Amphibia, Anura, Pelobatidae.
AGCAAAAGGGCAACAGACCGGCAAGAAAAGAUGGGUUUCUUUGACUCACGAGCGGGACAGGGGAAAAACCUCAAGCCGGCCCAAGAUAAUGAUGGGGAAGAACCAGAUCGAGCACAGAGGUCACAGAUGCCUGAAACCCCACUCACGAGAAAGGCCCUACAGGGUAUGAUGUACGAUAUGUCAAAUAAGCUACUCACCUCCUUGCAAUCUUCCCUGGGGGAGAUCAAACGCAAAAUGAAGGACCUGGGGUUGCGGACAUCUGCAGUGGAAGACCUAGCCACAAAUGUAGAUGACUUAAAUGCACGGAUGGACGCCUACAAAAUCAAGAUGGAGGACAGGGCCAAUCUGCGGAUUCCGGGCGUAUCAGAAAGCCCUCAUGCCACAGAAGGGUUUAUAAACCCAAAUGCAACAGAAAGAAUUUUAAUUAUUGCAUUA